GACGAACGCUGGCGGCGUGCUUAACAUAUGCAAGUCGAACGGAAAGGCCUGCUUUCCCUUGUGGAUUGCGGGUACUCGCGUGGCGAACGGGUGAGUAACACGUGAGUGAUCUGCCCCCAACUUUGGUAUAAGCCUGGGAAACUGGGUCUAAUUCCCGAUAGGACUGCAGGGUGGUGCCUGUGGUGGAAAACGAUUUUCUAGUGGUUGGGGAUGAGCUCGCGGCCUAUCAGCUUGUUGGUGGGGUAAUGGCCUACCAAGGCGGCGACGGGUAGCCGGCCUGAGAGGGUGGACGGCCACAUUGGGACUGAGAGACGGCGCAGACUCCUACGGGAGGCAGCAGAGGGGAAUAUAGCACAAUGGGCGGAAGCCUGAUGCAGCGACGCCGCGUGGGGGAUGACGGCCUUCGGGUUGUAAACUCCUUUCGACCGCGAGGAAGCCACCUGGUUGGAAGGGUGGUGACGGUAGUGGUAGAAGAAGCACCGGCUAACUACGUG
Molecule: ribosomal RNA, 494 nt
Filed under: uncultured bacterium
Lineage: Bacteria
Description: partial 16S ribosomal RNA
Rfam family: Bacterial small subunit ribosomal RNA
Source: RNAcentral